Molecule: long non-coding RNA, 2685 nt
Organism: Taeniopygia guttata (zebra finch)
Lineage: Eukaryota; Metazoa; Chordata; Aves; Passeriformes; Estrildidae
Source: Ensembl
UUAGUCAUUAGUCCGUGGAGUUGUUUAUUUAUUGACCAUUUGCAACUCUUCCCUCCAUCACCACCUUUUCCCUCCCUAUGUUUCCAGCAAAGUCACUGGCAGCCUGUUCUGCUUCUCUGUCCCACCCCAUCCCAUCAUAUAAUCUCUUACAUCGGUCCCUUCUACCUAAACUCAGUCCUUCAAGUGCCUCUUCAUUUCAGGAAUGGACCCAUCUUUCGCUGGUGGAAGGGUGACUCCCUGGAGGUUAGUGAAGAAUUAGAAAUAAUUUAAUUUACCUCCCUGUUCGGGUGCUUUGAUGAGCUGAAAGGCCCCUUGUCAGGAAGCAAAUCCAUCUUCUUCCAGCCUUACAUCAAAUUUCAUUCACUAAUUAGAAACUCCUGCCCUAGACCAUGCUGCCCCCACCCCGGCCACCCCUUCUCCCCACCAGCACCAUUAUGAAAAUAAAUUGUUCCAUUAGCUGCAUUGUUGUGGCUGUGGGGCCCAGUGCUGGGAGUUAUUAGAGCAGGAGGGAGGGCGUUGGAUUAAGACAAAUGAUUUAUUACGGAAAAGGGCCCUGAUUAGAUUCUUACUCGUCCCCAGCGUGUGGCUGCAUACUCACACACCCCUACCCCGACGCCCCCUGUGGCACCACACAGCGGCCCGUGGCAGUCAGUGCCGGAUGGUGGUGAGGUUUCUCCCGGGGCUGGAUCCUGCUGACUGCUCUCAGAGCACUGGGAGUCCCAGCUCGUACUGAGACAUGAGGUAGCAACUGAUGCCAGCUGCCCCCUGCAUUGCCCCGAGCUGCCCCUGCCUGCUUCUCAUUUCUUUGCAGGGUGGGGACCACCAGCAUCACCCCCAGUUCUGCCAGUUCUGCAGCAGGGACCCACUGUGGGUACUGAGUGUGUCCUGGUGCCUGGGGAGGGGAGAAGGGAAAGGAUGGCUUUGACGUGUUAGCUGAGUACCCCACACUGCGGGAGUGGGAGUUAAGCGUGUCCCACCAGCAGGAGGGUUGGCAGCGUUCACCCUGUGUGGUGGGAGAGGCUGUCAGGCCCCUCCAAGGGUCCGGAGUACUCUCUGCACCUGGCAGAUGUGGGGUGGGCAUGGCUGCAGGGGUGGGUAUGCCUGCAGAGGUGGGCACUGCCACGGUGUGCCCAUGUCCUGCUGUCUUCACAUUGCCUUGCUGUCACUAUAGCAACAUGUACCCUCCAGCUUAUUCCUGGAGGGGACAGAGAUCAGGGACACGGGGACAUGUGAGUGCUCCUGGGAUAUAAAGGAUACAAGCUGAAAAUGAAGUAAAUCGUGGCAUCGGAUGGUGAUUCUGAGAGCUGGUGGGUGUCUGGUGGGCGUCCAGUGCGAUGGUGGGCAGGUGUCUGUCCGGGGCAUAUAGGUAUGUGUAGGGGGCGGGAUGCCUGCAUCUGGCUGUGUCCGCGGUGUCCAUACAGGCGCAGCAGGCUCUGGUUGACACCCAGAGGCUGUUGCCUGCUAAAACACCUCCGUCCCUGCCCGGGACAAGCUGCCACGCACAGGCGGAGGGGUUCUGCAGCACCUGUAGUGGGGGGAUGUUCCCUCCGUUGCUGUCACACAGGUGCCGCGGUUGAGAGAGGGGCAAGAGGUGGGGGGCUGGGGAAGAAGGGGGAGGUGGAGGAGGAGUUCGGGGUGCAGGAUGGGCUCAGCAGCACACAUCACACUGCCCCCGGGGCUUUGGGGGGACGGUGUGUUGGGACAGCCCGGUUCCCCCGGUAAUAGCGCUGCAGAGAGCGGGGUCCUGCCCGGCUCCCGGAGCAGCAGCACUCCGAAAAGCCACCAGGGCUAGUCCGGCUAAAGCAGGAGAGAGCGGGGGACAGGUCCCUGUCCCUGCCGGCCCGGUGGGGCAGCCGCUCCCACAAUUUUUGUAGGGCGGCUAUGGGUCGGUCAUCCCUCGCUGGGAGGAGGGUCCCUGCAAGCUGCUGUACCGAUGUCCGCAGGCACAGAUAUUUUGGGGUGACAGCCCCCCCUCCCAAUCACGUCAGAGCCAGGGCCAUGGGGAUGUGACUGGACCCAGACGAUGGGGACAUGCCACCACCAUGCCCGCAGACGUGGCCCCUCUGCAGGGCAGCUUUGGCAGUGUCCCACCCUGCUGUCGUGGCACUCCGAACUGCCCCGAGCAGGGGAUUCUUUCAGCCCCAAGCCCCGAUGCUCCCCUGCCGCGGCAGAAGGCCGGGGAGUGAGGGACAGACGGGAGGGGCGGGGACGGGCACCAUGUCCCCCCUUGUUAACAGCGCCGGACCCUGUAGCCUUUUCAAGGCUCUGAAUAGGGGGUGGUACCUGUCUUCUGCUGAAUUAGAGGCCGGGGGUUGUCGGAGCUGGUUUAACACGCUCAGACAGGGUUGGAAGGAUGGUGAAGGGGGACAUGCUACCCCAGAUGGGAACAUGUGGGGGGUGUCUCCUGUCGCCACAUGCCCUUCCUCUCCCUCCCACCCACCAUUUAUAUGGUAAUGAGGACAAAUUGAUGGAGAGACAUCCAUUGUGGGACCCUCCAGCCCGGCCCUUCUGCCGGCCACCCACCAGCAUCCCCAUCCAUCACUGCCCAGCUGGGAGCACCCCUCGCCUGGCACUGGCACGCUGGGAGAUGGGAUUGCUUCAUGUGCCCACCGGCAGUGGGGCAGCUCCCAGGCUGUCCUGGUGCUCCGGGGGCUGAGUGACAAGACAGAGGAUGACAUCCAGGCA